RNAcentral lists this ribosomal RNA (567 nucleotides) under Gomphonema affine. RNAcentral describes it as "eukaryotic LSU rRNA". It matches the Rfam family "Eukaryotic large subunit ribosomal RNA", at positions 22 to 664 of the family's 3401-position model. Lineage: Eukaryota; Bacillariophyta; Bacillariophyceae; Cymbellales; Gomphonemataceae. The record is from RNAcentral.
UACCCGCUGGAAUUAAGCAUAUUAAUAAGCGGAGGAAAAGAAACUAACAAGGAUUCCCUCAGUAAGGGCGACUGAAGCGGGAAGAGCUCAUGAUGUGAAUCGGUGUUUCGGCACUGAAUUGUGGUCUAUAGAUUCUUGCAUUAAUGGCCGGGUUAAGUCUCUUGGAAUAGAGCGGCAUAGAGGGUGAGACCCCCGUGAACCUGGACUUUAGAGUGAGUAUCAACGAGUCGAGUUGUUUGGGAUUGCAGCUCAAAGUGGGAGGUAAAUUCCUUCUAAAGCUAAAUAUGGGCGAGACACCGAUAGUGUACAAGUACCGUGAGGGAAAGAUGCAAAGAACUUUGAAAAGAGAGUUAAAGAGUACCUGAAAUUGCUGAAAGGGAAGCGAAGGAAAUCAGUGAAGGCUUAGUUGCAUUUUCUUGUUUGCUUGCAGGCGAGACGCUGUGACGAGCCGUGCAACGCUUGAUUGGGAUGGAUUAAUUACCCCAGUGGGAGUUGACCUCUGAGGGAACAAUUUGACCUGAUUGAGUUGGUGCAAAAUGGUUUUCUUCUCCCCGUCUUGAAACACGG